GGAUGAACGCUGGCGGCGUGCCUAAUACAUGCAAGUCGAGCGAACGGACGAGAAGCUUGCUUCUCUGAUGUUAGCGGCGGACGGGUGAGUAACACGUGGAUAACCUACCUAUAAGACUGGGAUAACUUCGGGAAACCGGAGCUAAUACCGGAUAAUAUUUUGAACCGCAUGGUUCAAAAGUGAAAGACGGUCUUGCUGUCACUUAUAGAUGGAUCCGCGCUGCAUUAGCUAGUUGGUAAGGUAACGGCUUACCAAGGCAACGAUGCAUAGCCGACCUGAGAGGGUGAUCGGCCACACUGGAACUGAGACACGGUCCAGACUCCUACGGGAGGCAGCAGUAGGGAAUCUUCCGCAAUGGGCGAAAGCCUGACGGAGCAACGCCGCGUGAGUGAUGAAGGUCUUCGGAUCGUAAAACUCUGUUAUUAGGGAAGAACAUAUGUGUAAGUAACUGUGCACAUCUUGACGGUACCUAAUCAGAAAGCCACGGCUAACUACGUGCCAGCAGCCGCGGUAAUACGUAGGUGGCAAGCGUUAUCCGGAAUUAUUGGGCGUAAAGCGCGCGUAGGCGGUUUUUUAAGUCUGAUGUGAAAGCCCACGGCUCAACCGUGGAGGGUCAUUGGAAACUGGAAAACUUGAGUGCAGAAGAGGAAAGUGGAAUUCCAUGUGUAGCGGUGAAAUGCGCAGAGAUAUGGAGGAACACCAGUGGCGAAGGCGACUUUCUGGUCUGUAACUGACGCUGAUGUGCGAAAGCGCGGGGAUCAAACAGGAUUAGAUACCCUGGUAGUCCACGCCGUAAACGAUGAGUGCUAAGUGUUAGGGGGUUUCCGCCCCUUAGUGCUGCAGCUAACGCAUUAAGCACUCCGCCUGGGGAGUACGACCGCAAGGUUGAAACUCAAAGGAAUUGACGGGGACCCGCACAAGCGGUGGAGCAUGUGGUUUAAUUCGAAGCAACGCGAAGAACCUUACCAAAUCUUGACAUCCUUUGACAACUCUAGAGAUAGAGCCUUCCCCUUCGGGGGACAAAGUGACAGGUGGUGCAUGGUUGUCGUCAGCUCGUGCCGUGAGAUGUUGGGUUAAGUCCCGCAACGAGCGCAACCCUUAAGCUUAGUUGCCAUCAUUAAGUUGGGCACUCUAAGUUGACUGCCGGUGACAAACCGGAGGAAGGUGGGGAUGACGUCAAAUCAUCAUGCCCCUUAUGAUUUGGGCUACACACGUGCUACAAUGGACAAUACAAAGGGCAGCGAAACCGCGAGGUCAAGCAAAUCCCAUAAAGUUGUUCUCAGUUCGGAUUGUAGUCUGCAACUCGACUACAUGAAGCUGGAAUCGCUAGUAAUCGUAGAUCAGCAUGCUACGGUGAAUACGUUCCCGGGUCUUGUACACACCGCCCGUCACACCACGAGAGUUUGUAACACCCGAAGCCGGUGGAGUAACCUUUUAGGAGCUAGCCGUCGAAGGUGGGACAAAUGAUUGGGGUGAAGUCGUACCAAGG
This 1489-nucleotide ribosomal RNA is filed under the name uncultured bacterium. RNAcentral describes it as "16S ribosomal RNA". It matches the Rfam family "Bacterial small subunit ribosomal RNA". The record is from RNAcentral.